CCAUCGGUGUUCUUCCCGAUAUCUGCGCAUUCCACCGCUACACCGGGAAUUCCGCUCUCCUCUACCGCACUCGAGCCGCCCAGUCCGGAACCCGGCCCGAGGUUGAGCCCCGGGGUUAGAGGUUCCGCUUAGGCGGCCGCCUACGCGCGCUUUACGCCCAAUGAAUCCGGAUAACGCUCGCCCCCUACGUAUUACCGCGGCUGCUGGCACGUAGUUAGCCGGAGCUUCUUCUGCAGGUACCGUCGUGGUCUUCCCUGCUGAAAGCGGUUUACGACCCGAGGGCCUUCGUCCCGCACGCGGCGUUGCUGCGUCAGGGGUUCCCCCAUUGCGCAAAAUUCCCCACUGCUGCCUCCCGUAGGAGUCUGGGCCGUAUCUCAGUCCCAAUGUGGCCGAUCGACCUCUCAGUCCGGCUACCCAUCGUCGGCUAGGUGGGCCUCUACCCCGCCUACUACCUAAUGGGCCGCGACCCCAUCCCGCGCCGUCGGGGCUUUCCCGCCGCCCCCAUGCGGGGGCCGCGGAGUAUCCGGUAUUAGCCGCCGUUUCCAGCGGUUGUCCCGGAGCGCGGGGCAGGUUGGUCACGUGUUACUCACCCGUUCGCCACUGUAUGUCCGCCCGAGGGCGGUUUAACCGUUCGACUUGCAUGUGUUAGG
This 650-nucleotide ribosomal RNA is filed under the name Adlercreutzia caecimuris. RNAcentral describes it as "partial 16S ribosomal RNA". Lineage: Bacteria; Bacillati; Actinomycetota; Coriobacteriia; Eggerthellales; Eggerthellaceae. The record is from RNAcentral.